RNAcentral lists this transfer RNA (85 nucleotides) under Rhodanobacter denitrificans. RNAcentral describes it as "tRNA-Leu". It matches the Rfam family "tRNA". From Rfam's summary of the family: Transfer RNA (tRNA) molecules are approximately 80 nucleotides in length. Their secondary structure includes four short double-helical elements and three loops (D, anti-codon, and T loops). RNAcentral also lists the same sequence under 6 other names. The record is from RNAcentral. Lineage: Bacteria; Pseudomonadati; Pseudomonadota; Gammaproteobacteria; Lysobacterales; Rhodanobacteraceae.
GCCCAGGUGGCGGAAUUGGUAGACGCACUACCUUGAGGUGGUAGCGGCGAAAGCUGUGGGGGUUCGAGUCCCCCCUUGGGCACCA